This 206-nucleotide long non-coding RNA is filed under the name Mytilus galloprovincialis (Mediterranean mussel). The record is from RNAcentral. Lineage: Eukaryota; Metazoa; Mollusca; Bivalvia; Mytilida; Mytilidae.
AUCUUCUUAAUUAUAAACUAGGCUCUAAAGAGCCUGUGUCGCUCACCUGGGUCUAUGUGAAUAUUAAACAAAGGAAGCAGAUGGAUUCAUGACAAAAUUGUGUUUUGGUGAUGGUGAUGUGUUUAUACAUCUUACUUUACUGAACAUUCUUGCUGCUUACAAUUAUCUCUAUCUAUAAUGAACUUGGCCCAGUAGUUUCAGUGGAA